Molecule: transfer RNA, 72 nt
Filed under: Ovis aries (sheep)
Lineage: Eukaryota; Metazoa; Chordata; Mammalia; Artiodactyla; Bovidae
Rfam family: tRNA
About the family: Transfer RNA (tRNA) molecules are approximately 80 nucleotides in length. Their secondary structure includes four short double-helical elements and three loops (D, anti-codon, and T loops).
Source: Rfam by way of RNAcentral
UCCCUGGUGGCUCAGACGGUAAAGCAUCUGCCUGCAAUGCAGGAGACUCGGGUUCAAUCCCUGGGUGGGGAA